AAAAAAUCAUAUGUUAUAAAUCGUAUUUAAACAUUAGAUAAGAACAAUAGUAAAAAAAUAUCUAAAACUUUUGAAUAAGCAGUCAUUUAUGUGAUAAACUGAAGAGACCCCCCCCCCCCCAAAAAAAAAAGAAAAGAAAAGAAAACAACAUAAAAAUUUAAAUGAAAAUUGUAAAUUAUAGCAUUUUACAAGAUCUUGUCUUUGUGUGCCAAGUACUAGUACUGUAACAGAGAUAUUAAUCAAAUUGAUUGAUUGUUGUUUGCUUUAAGUCCAGUAGCAAAUAUUUCAUGCCUGUUAAUGACUAUAACACAUAAAUUUUAAAUACAAUAGGUAGGUCGUACAAUAGGUGCAAGAGUUUUUAAUUUGAUUCAUAAAAUCUAGUACCCUGAAGUCGAUCAUCCAUGUUUACGUGUAGUUUACAAUAUCAUUUCACGCA
Molecule: long non-coding RNA, 436 nt
Filed under: Mytilus galloprovincialis (Mediterranean mussel)
Lineage: Eukaryota; Metazoa; Mollusca; Bivalvia; Mytilida; Mytilidae
Source: RNAcentral